This 484-nucleotide ribosomal RNA is filed under the name uncultured bacterium. Its description in RNAcentral is "partial 16S ribosomal RNA". It matches the Rfam family "Bacterial small subunit ribosomal RNA", at positions 30 to 507 of the family's 1533-position model. The record is from RNAcentral.
AUUGAACGCUGGCGGCAGGCCUAACACAUGCAAGUCGAGCGGAUGAAGGGAGCUUGCUCCUGGAUUCAGCGGCGGACGGGUGAGUAAUGCCUAGGAAUCUGCCUGGUAGUGGGGGAUAACGUCCGGAAACGGGCGCUAAUACCGCAUACGUCCUGAGGGAGAAAGUGGGGGAUCUUCGGACCUCACGCUAUCAGAUGAGCCUAGGUCGGAUUAGCUAGUUGGUGGGGUAAAGGCCUACCAAGGCGACGAUCCGUAACUGGUCGGAGAGGAUGAUCAGUCACACUGGAACUGAGACACGGACCAGACGCCUACGGGAGGCAGCAGUGGGGAAUAUUGGACAAUGGUCGAAAGCCUGAUCCAGCCAUGCCGCGUGUGAGAAGAAGGUCUUCGGAUUGUAAAGCACUUUAAGUUGGGAUGAAGGGCAGUAAGUUAAUACCUUGCUGUUUUGACGUUACCAACAGAAUAAGCACCGGCUAACUUCGUG